GCGGCGUGCUUCAUACAUGCAAGUCGAACGAGAAGCGGGAGCUUGCUCCUGUGGAAAGUGGCGGACGGGUGAGUAACACGUAGGAAAUCUGCCUUUGGGUGGGGGACAACAGUUGGAAACGACUGCUAAUACCCCAUAUGAGCUUGGUUGCAAUACCAAUCUUGAAAACUCCGGUGCCUAAAGAUGAGCCUGCGUCUGAUUAGCUUGUUGGCGGGGUGAUGGCCCACCAAGGCGACGAUCAGUAGCUGGUUUGAGAGGGGGAUCAGCCACAAUGGGAAUGAGCCACGGCCCAUACUCCUACGGGAGGCAGCAGUAGGGAAUUUUGCGCAAUGGGGGAAACCCUGACGCAGCCACGCCGCGUGAAUGACGAAGCCCUUCGGGGUGUAAAGUUCUGUCAGUAGGGAAGAAUUUUGACUGUACCUACAAAGGAAGCACCGGCUAACUCCGUGCCAGCAGCCGCCGUAA
Molecule: ribosomal RNA, 465 nt
Filed under: uncultured bacterium
Lineage: Bacteria
Description: partial 16S ribosomal RNA
Rfam family: Bacterial small subunit ribosomal RNA
Source: RNAcentral